CCUACGGGAUGCUGCAGUAGGGAAUAUUGGACAAUGGAGGAAACUCUGAUCCAGCCAUCCCGCGUGAAGGAUUAAGGUCCUAUGGAUUGUAAACUUCUUUUCUUUGGGAAUAAAAUCUCCGAUUCCUCGGAGCUUGAAGGUACCAGGGGAAUAAGCACCGGCUAACUCCGUGCCAGCAGCCGCGGUAAUACGGAGGGUGCAGGCGUUAUCGGGAUUCAAUGGGUUGAAAGGGGUUUUAGAUGUCUGUGUUGAAAGCCUACAGCUUAACUGUAGAAUUGCCAUUGAUACUGCUUAACUUGAAUCAAGUCGAAGUGGAUGGAAUAGAUCAUGUAGCGGUGAAAUGCUUAGAUAUGAUUUAGAACACCAAUUGCGAAGGCAGUUCACUAGGCUUGUAUUGACACUGAGGCACGAAAGCGUGGGGAUCAAACAGGAUUAGAUACCCGAGUAGUC
Molecule: ribosomal RNA, 450 nt
Filed under: uncultured bacterium
Lineage: Bacteria
Description: partial 16S ribosomal RNA
Rfam family: Bacterial small subunit ribosomal RNA
Source: RNAcentral